UGGCAGAUACUCAUUGGACUAAGCAGGC
This 28-nucleotide non-coding RNA is filed under the name Mus musculus (house mouse). The record is from RNAcentral. Lineage: Eukaryota; Metazoa; Chordata; Mammalia; Rodentia; Muridae.